AGUAACGGCGAGUGAAGCGGCAACAGCUCAAAUUUGAAAUCUGGCCUCUCGGGGUCCGAGUUGUAAUUUGUAGAGGAUGUUUUGGGUACCGCCCCGGUCUAAAUUUCUUGGAACAGAACGUCAGAGAGGGUGAGAAUCCCGUCUUGGACCGGCGGUAGGGCCUGUGUAAAACUCCUUCGACGAGUCGAGUUGUUUGGG
This 198-nucleotide ribosomal RNA is filed under the name Phialophora verrucosa. RNAcentral's name for it is "partial large subunit ribosomal RNA". It matches the Rfam family "Eukaryotic large subunit ribosomal RNA", at positions 82 to 278 of the family's 3401-position model. The record is from RNAcentral. Lineage: Eukaryota; Fungi; Ascomycota; Eurotiomycetes; Chaetothyriales; Herpotrichiellaceae.